RNAcentral lists this ribosomal RNA (639 nucleotides) under uncultured fungus. RNAcentral describes it as "eukaryotic LSU rRNA". It matches the Rfam family "Eukaryotic large subunit ribosomal RNA", at positions 38 to 667 of the family's 3401-position model. The record is from RNAcentral. Lineage: Eukaryota; Fungi.
GCAUAUCAAUAAGCGGAGGAAAAGAAACUAACUAGGAUUCCCUUAGUAACGGCGAGUGAACCGGGAUGAGCUCAAAUUUAAAAUCUGGCGUCUUUCAGGCGUCCGAGUUGUAAUCUAUAGAGGCGUUUUCCGCGCCGGACCGCGUCCAAGUCUCUUGGAAUAGAGUAUCAAAGAGGGUGACAAUCCCGUACUUGACGCGACAACCGGUGCUCUGUGAUACGUUCUCAAUGAGUCGAGUUGUUUGGGAAUGCAGCUCUAAAUGGGUGGUAAAUUCCAUCUAAGGCUAAAUAUUGGCGAGAGACCGAUAGCGAACAAGUACCGUGAGGGAAAGAUGAAAAGCACUUUGGAAAGAGAGUUAAACAGCACGUGAAAUUGUUAAAAGGGAAACGAUUGAAGUCAGUCGUGUGAAAGGUAUUCAGCCGUCUCUGGCGGUGUAUUUGCCUUUCACGGGUCAACAUCAGUUUGAUCCGGUAGAAAAAGGCAGGAGGAAGGUGGCACCCUCGGGUGUGCUAUAGCCUCUUGUCAUAUGUGCCGGACCAGACUGAGGAACGCAGCUUGCCGCAAGGCCGGGGUUCGCCCACGUACAAGCUUAGGAUGUUGACAUAAUGGCUUUAAACGACCCGUCUUGAAACACGGACC